RNAcentral lists this antisense RNA (75 nucleotides) under Streptomyces albus subsp. albus DSM 41398. RNAcentral's name for it is "ASpks TB sRNA". It matches the Rfam family "ASpks TB sRNA". The record is from Rfam by way of RNAcentral. Lineage: Bacteria; Bacillati; Actinomycetota; Actinomycetes; Kitasatosporales; Streptomycetaceae.
CUUCAGCGAACCCAGCCACAGCGGACGCUGCGGCGAGUGGUCCUGCCCGUAGGUGGCGAGCAGCGCCCCCGCCUC